RNAcentral lists this ribosomal RNA (254 nucleotides) under uncultured bacterium. RNAcentral's name for it is "partial 16S ribosomal RNA". It matches the Rfam family "Bacterial small subunit ribosomal RNA", at positions 524 to 776 of the family's 1533-position model. The record is from RNAcentral.
UACGUAGGGUCCGAGCGUUGUCCGGAAUUACUGGGCGUAAAGAGCUCGUAGGCGGUGUGUCGCGUCGGCCGUGAAAACCUGCAGCUUAACUGUGGGCGUGCGGUCGAUACGGGCAUCACUGGAGUUCGGCAGGGGAGACUGGAAUUCCUGGUGUAGCGGUGAAAUGCGCAGAUAUCAGGAGGAACACCGGUGGCGAAGGCGGGUCUCUGGGAAGUAACUGACGCUGAGAAGCGAAAGCAUGGGUAGCAAACAGG